RNAcentral lists this ribosomal RNA (1372 nucleotides) under uncultured bacterium. RNAcentral describes it as "bacterial SSU rRNA". It matches the Rfam family "Bacterial small subunit ribosomal RNA", at positions 28 to 1381 of the family's 1533-position model. The record is from RNAcentral.
GAUGAACGCUGGCGGCGUGCCUAAUACAUGCAAGUCGAGCGAACGGACGAGAAGCUUGCUUCUCUGAUGUUAGCGGCGGACGGGUGAGUAACACGUGGAUAACCUACCUAUAAGACUGGGAUAACUUCGGGAAACCGGAGCUAAUACCGGAUAAUAUUUUGAACCGCAUGGUUCAAAAGUGAAAGACGGUCUUGCUGUCACUUAUAGAUGGAUCCGCGCUGCAUUAGCUAGUUGGUAAGGUAACGGCUUACCAAGGCAACGAUGCAUAGCCGACCUGAGAGGGUGAUCGGCCACACUGGAACUGAGACACGGUCCAGACUCCUACGGGAGGCAGCAGUAGGGAAUCUUCCGCAAUGGGCGAAAGCCUGACGGAGCAACGCCGCGUGAGUGAUGAAGGUCUUCGGAUCGUAAAACUCUGUUAUUAGGGAAGAACAUAUGUGUAAGUAACUGUGCACAUCUUGACGGUACCUAAUCAGAAAGCCACGGCUAACUACGUGCCAGCAGCCGCGGUAAUACGUAGGUGGCAAGCGUUAUCCGGAAUUAUUGGGCGUAAAGCGCGCGUAGGCGGUUUUUUAAGUCUGAUGUGAAAGCCCACGGCUCAACCGUGGAGGGUCAUUGGAAACUGGAAAACUUGAGUGCAGAAGAGGAAAGUGGAAUUCCACGUGUAGCGGUGAAAUGCGCAGAGAUAUGGAGGAACACCAGUGGCGAAGGCGACUUUCUGGUCUGUAAUUGACGCUGAUGUGCGAAAGCGUGGGGAUCAAACAGGAUUAGAUACCCUGGUAGUCCACGCCGUAAACGAUGAGUGCUAAGUGUUAGGGGGUUUCCGCCCCUUAGUGCUGCAGCUAACGCAUUAAGCACUCCGCCUGGGGAGUACGACCGCAAGGUUGAAACUCAAAGGAAUUGACGGGGACCCGCACAAGCGGUGGAGCAUGUGGUUUAAUUCGAAGCAACGCGAAGAACCUUACCAAAUCUUGACAUCCUUUGACAACUCUAGAGAUAGAGCCUUCCCCUUCGGGGGACAAAGUGACAGGUGGUGCAUGGUUGUCGUCAGCUCGUGUCGUGAGAUGUUGGGUUAAGUCCCGCAACGAGCGCAACCCUUAAGCUUAGUUGCCAUCAUUAAGUUGGGCACUCUAAGUUGACUGCCGGUGACAAACCGGAGGAAGGUGGGGAUGACGUCAAAUCAUCAUGCCCCUUAUGAUUUGGGCUACACACGUGCUACAAUGGACAAUACAAAGGGCAGCGAAACCGCGAGGUCAAGCAAAUCCCAUAAAGUUGUUCUCAGUUCGGAUUGUAGUCUGCAACUCGACUACAUGAAGCUGGAAUCGCUAGUAAUCGUAGAUCAGCAUGCUACGGUGAAUACGUUCCCGGGUCU